GAUGAACGCUGGCGGCGUGCCUAAUACAUGCAAGUCGAGCGAACAGAUGAGGAGCUUGCUCCUCUGACGUUAGCGGCGGACGGGUGAGUAACACGUGGAUAACCUACCUAUAAGACUGGGAUAACUUCGGGAAACCGGAGCUAAUACCGGAUAAUAUAUUGAACCGCAUGGUUCAAUAGUGAAAGACGGUUUUGCUGUCACUUAUAGAUGGAUCCGCGCCGCAUUAGCUAGUUGGUAAGGUAACGGCUUACCAAGGCAACGAUGCGUAGCCGACCUGAGAGGGUGAUAGGCCACAUUGGAACUGAGACACGGUCCAGACUCCUACGGGAGGGAGCAGUAGGGAAUCGGCCGCAAUGGGCGAAAGCCUGACGGAGCAACGCCGCGUGAGUGAUGAAGGUCUUCGGAUCGUAAAACUCUGUUAUUAGGGAAGAACAAAUGUGUAAGUAACUAUGCACGUCUUGACGGUACCUAAUCAGAAAGCCACGGCUAACUACGUG
RNAcentral lists this ribosomal RNA (497 nucleotides) under uncultured bacterium. RNAcentral describes it as "partial 16S ribosomal RNA". It matches the Rfam family "Bacterial small subunit ribosomal RNA", at positions 28 to 507 of the family's 1533-position model. The record is from RNAcentral.